Alligator sinensis (Chinese alligator) is the source of this 335-nucleotide long non-coding RNA. RefSeq lists it as uncharacterized. The record is from RefSeq and is a predicted model, not a curated record. The transcript has 3 exons. Lineage: Eukaryota; Metazoa; Chordata; Crocodylia; Alligatoridae.
GCUGUGUUAAGAGGAGAAGCAGGGCUUCUUAUAAGAUGCUGACCAAGUGUUAAUGAACACUCAAGAGUGCUGAGGCAGGGCAAUCUUGCGUUCUCCAGACCGCCUGCCACAACAGUCCACUACACGGAGGUCAAGUAAGUGGAGUUCUAACAUGACGCUUCACUGCAAACGUCCUGAUACCCUGACAUCUAACUCCACACAAGUCAGCCUAACCGAAAUGAGAACAGCCACGCUACAGAAUGAGGGGAUUAACAGCACUGACUGCAUUGGUCCCCGGUGAGAUGUACUAACUUGAGCUCUAGCAUCAACUCCUUAAGGGUGUAGCCAACCCACGU